RNAcentral lists this ribosomal RNA (468 nucleotides) under uncultured bacterium. RNAcentral's name for it is "partial 16S ribosomal RNA". It matches the Rfam family "Bacterial small subunit ribosomal RNA", at positions 28 to 507 of the family's 1533-position model. The record is from RNAcentral.
GACGAACGCUGGCGGCGUGCCUAACACAUGCAAGUCGAACGGAAAGGCCCUGCUUUUGUGGGGUGCUCGAGUGGCGAACGGGUGAGUAACACGUGAGUAACCUGCCCUUGACUUUGGGAUAACUUCAGGAAACUGGGGCUAAUACCGGAUAGGAGCUCCUGCUGCAUGGGGGGGGUUGGAAAGUUUCGGCGGUGGGGGAUGGACUCGCGGCUUAUCAGCUUGUUGGUGGGGUAGUGGCUUCCCAAGGUUUUGACGGGUAGCCGGCCUGGGAGGGUGACCGGCCACAUUGGGACUGCGGUACGGCCCAGACUCCUACGGGAGGCAGCAGUGGGGAGUAUUGCACAGUGGGCGGGAGCCUGAUGCAGCAGCGCCGCGUGCGGGAUGACGGCCUUCGGGUUGUAAACCGCUUUCGCCUGUGACGAAGCGUGAGUGACGGUAAUGGGUAAAGAAGCACCGGCUAACUACGUG